UACGAGAGCCUCGAGCGUUAUCCGGAAUUAUUGGGCGUAAAGGGUGUGUAGGUUGUUCUGUUAGUUUUUUGUCAAAGCCAGGGGCUCAACCUCUGAUAUGCAAAAAAUACGGCAGAACUUGAAAGUGCGAGAGGUGUACGGAACUCUAGGUGUAGGGGUGAAAUCCGUUGAUAUCUAGGGGAACACCAAAUGCGAAGGCAGUACACUGGCGCAUAUUUGACACUGAAACACGAAAGCGUGGGUAGCGAAUGGG
Molecule: ribosomal RNA, 253 nt
Filed under: uncultured bacterium
Lineage: Bacteria
Description: partial 16S ribosomal RNA
Rfam family: Bacterial small subunit ribosomal RNA
Source: RNAcentral